AGUGAACGCUGGCGGUAGGCCUAACACAUGCAAGUCGAACGGCAGCACAGUAAGAGCUUGCUCUUACGGGUGGCGAGUGGCGGACGGGUGAGGAAUACAUCGGAAUCUACUUUUUCGCGGGGGAUAACGUAGGGAAACUUACGCUAAUACCGCAUACGACCUACGGGUGAAAGCAGGGGAUCUUCGGACCUUGCGCGAUUGAAUGAGCCGAUGUCGGAUUAGCUAGUUGGCGGGGUAAAGGCCCACCAAGGCGACGAUCCGUAGCUGGUCUGAGAGGAUGAUCAGCCACACUGGAACUGAGACACGGUCCAGACUCCUACGGGAGGCAGCAGUGGGGAAUAUUGGACAAUGGGCGCAAGCCUGAUCCAGCCAUACCGCGUGGGUGAAGAAGGCCUUCGGGUUGUAAAGCCCUUUUGUUGGGAAAGAAAUCCAGCCGGCUAAUACCUGGUUGGGAUGACGGUACCCAAAGAAUAAGCACCGGCUAACUUCGUG
Molecule: ribosomal RNA, 492 nt
Filed under: uncultured bacterium
Lineage: Bacteria
Description: partial 16S ribosomal RNA
Rfam family: Bacterial small subunit ribosomal RNA
Source: RNAcentral